UCAAGAAUGUUGUAUGACUUGUA
This 23-nucleotide non-coding RNA is filed under the name Arabidopsis thaliana (thale cress). Lineage: Eukaryota; Viridiplantae; Streptophyta; Magnoliopsida; Brassicales; Brassicaceae. The record is from RNAcentral.